Molecule: long non-coding RNA, 2277 nt
Organism: Oncorhynchus tshawytscha (Chinook salmon)
Lineage: Eukaryota; Metazoa; Chordata; Actinopteri; Salmoniformes; Salmonidae
Source: Ensembl
GGCGAGAGGGAGGUGAAGCUUGUUCCUGGCUCUUCCACCAAUCCAAUUGUUUCUUAUAGACAGAAAAGAGCAAAGGCUCUGAGCUGUCCGAUCAGGUCCAUUGUCUACUUGUGCACUGAAAGUUUUGGCCAAGGUUUCGGGAACUGAUGGCUUUAUGGAGUAGCCUACAGCACCACAGUCGUCGCAUCGGGACACUGGUAAUUUUUUUCAUAAGGGAGGGACAACUGUAGCAUUUUUAGUGAUGGGAUGAUUGAUAUUGAAGCUCCGAUGCAGUAUUCAAAGCACUAUGUAACAUUAUCACGUGUUCAAUGACGUCCGAAGAAUACGUUUCUAAACCCGGAGGCGCAACAUCGCCAUGAAUCAUUAUAAUAAGAUAUUUUCAGAGUGAAUAUAAUUGCACUUAAAUUGUUUAUUUUUUGUAUUUUAUUUAUAUUUUUUGUAUGUUUGAGCAUUGUUAAUACCUGUGUUUGGUUUGCUAGACAUGUUUGAUGUAGCAAUGUAAGUUGAUUUUUGUAUUAUGAAUGCGCAACAUCGCGAGAUUUCUGGGAACGCGCGCGACAAACCAUGGGUUGAGAAGUGAACCAUUUAAAACAUUCUUCCUGAGUUUUUCAUUUUCUCUAAAUCUAAAGGCUUCGAUUCGAGACGAUUUCUUAAGUUGUUGAACAUGUUAUGACUUUGAUUUGACCGAGUGCGCAUUUCGGCGCAAGACGACCCUUAGACCCGAUGACGUGUCUCUGCGCAUGAGCUUAGCGAGCCAACGUCGCCAUGACAUCGCCUACAAGCGUGAUCAGGGAUUUAUAUUGGAGAAGCAGUUUUAGCCUAUCUUCAUUUAUUUAUUUUAUUUUUAUUUUUUAUUACAACGAAUAGUUUCUCUUACAGAGUUCAUUCAAUCACAAAAGUAAGAACAUAUCCUUGUUUAAUGCAUGCUCUACAAGUAACAGGCCUCUACAAGGGUAACACUACAGCACCUCAGCUAAAGACAACAAAAAUGAUUAAUUCAAUUUGAAAAUACGUUCUCUAACCAGUUUUUUUAGUUGGUACGAAAUAAAGUUUGUAAAGGGUAAAAAAAAAAAAAACAGGGUCAAAUGGUUUUGUAGGGCAUUUUCCAAGUUCGAUACUCUGAAAUACAUGUACGUAUCCAUUUAGACAUGAAUAUGUUUUGCAGAAAGAAUCCUUUUGGCAGAUAGUUGAACGAAGCCUCUGAUGAAGCCUCAGCGAGAAGUACGUGUACAUGAUGAGGGCCCCAUAUGAGGCAGUAACAAACAGCAGCGGCCGGCAACAGCCUCGGCCUGGGCCUUACCUCAAGUGUUUAAACUAUUUUCUGGAUCGUCAUCAUCUUCUGCUGCCCAAGAAGGCCCAGACUGGGGCUGCUCUUCAUCGCCGGACGACUGGUGGAAAGCUGCUACCCCCAGUAAGGCCACCUCCUCAGGGAUAGGCUUGAUCUUCUGGUCACCACUGACAUCGCUAGACUCAGAGUCCAGGUCCCCCUCUUCUUGACUGGAAGAGGAUGGCGUCUGCUUCAUUCUAUGCUCGGAUUGAGGUGUGCUUUGAGGCUUGACUGCCUGGGUAUUACCCUCCUUGCUGGAUGCAUCCUCUUUCUUGACCUUCCGAGGUCUGCCCCUGGGCCUAUGUUGAGGACUAUCCUUGCUGGGGGUCCGGAUCGUCACUGGAGGAAUCAGAGUCAGAGGAGCGGUCUGGCACCUUGCGUUUGCGGACAACUCUUUCUGGAGAGAGGGGCGUGUUCUUCUUCAGGCCAAAGAGGCAUUUCUUGGUCACACUCCGAUGGUCUCCAUCGUCACUCUCGGCUUCGUCUGAACUACGCGUCAUGGCGGCCCGCUGGAGGACAGCUGAGACCUCAUCGGAGUCAGAGUCAUCAGUUCCUCUCCCAAGCCCUCCCUCGUCAGCUCCUUGAGGCACUUCAGCAUUGGGGCUGGUGUCAGGGUCCGAGUCACUCUCACUGCCUAUCUUCAUGUCUUUGGUAAUACUAUUGGCGCGAGUCAAUUGCCGCGUUUGUCUGCCAGUCGGAACUAGGCAACUCCAAAAUGUCCGACUUGAUAAUUGGUUGUAGUUAUACACGUGCCAUGUUCAACUAGUUAGCAAUUCGGAAAUUUGUUUCCUAGUUCCGACUAGUACGUGAACGCAGCACAAAGCCUUUUAUAAGGUUAGAAAAUGUGGGUGAACGCAGCACAAAGCCUUUUUUUAAGGUUAGAAAAUGUGGUGUUUUGUUUGUAAAUGUACUUUUGUGAAUAUGAAAUUUGGCCAAAAGAAUAAUUAAAU